UGGCUCAGGACGAACGCUGGCGGCGUGCCUAAUACAUGCAAGUCGAGCGGACAGAUGGGAGCUUGCUCCCUGAUGUUAGCGGCGGACGGGUGAGUAACACGUGGGUAACCUGCCUGUAAGACUGGGAUAACUCCGGGAAACCGGGGCUAAUACCGGAUGGUUGUUUGAACCGCAUGGUUCAAACAUAAAAGGUGGCUUCGGCUACCACUUACAGAUGGACCCGCGGCGCAUUAGCUAGUUGGUGAGGUAACGGCUCACCAAGGCAACGAUGCGUAGCCGACCUGAGAGGGUGAUCGGCCACACUGGGACUGAGACACGGCCCAGACUCCUACGGGAGGCAGCAGUAGGGAAUCUUCCGCAAUGGACGAAAGUCUGACGGAGCAACGCCGCGUGAGUGAUGAAGGUUUUCGGAUCGUAAAGCUCUGUUGUUAGGGAAGAACAAGUACCGUUCGAAUAGGGCGGUACCUUGACGGUACCUAACCAGAAAGCCACGGCUAACUACGUGCCAGCAGCCGCGGUAAUACGUAGGUGGCAAGCGUUGUCCGGAAUUAUUGGGCGUAAAGGGCUCGCAGGCGGUUUCUUAAGUCUGAUGUGAAAGCCCCCGGCUCAACCGGGGAGGGUCAUUGGAAACUGGGGAACUUGAGUGCAGAAGAGGAGAGUGGAAUUCCACGUGUAGCGGUGAAAUGCGUAGAGAUGUGGAGGAACACCAGUGGCGAAGGCGACUCUCUGGUCUGUAACUGACG
RNAcentral lists this ribosomal RNA (743 nucleotides) under Bacillus subtilis. Its description in RNAcentral is "bacterial SSU rRNA". It matches the Rfam family "Bacterial small subunit ribosomal RNA", at positions 20 to 745 of the family's 1533-position model. Lineage: Bacteria; Bacillati; Bacillota; Bacilli; Caryophanales; Bacillaceae. The record is from RNAcentral.